RNAcentral lists this ribosomal RNA (397 nucleotides) under uncultured bacterium. RNAcentral describes it as "bacterial SSU rRNA". It matches the Rfam family "Bacterial small subunit ribosomal RNA", at positions 28 to 429 of the family's 1533-position model. The record is from RNAcentral.
AAUGAACGCUGGCGGCGUGCUUAACACAUGCAAGUCGAGCGGUAAGGCCCUUUCGGGGGUACACGAGCGGCGAACGGGUGAGUAACACGUGGGUGACCUGCCCUCAGCUCUGGGAUAAGCCUGGGAAACCGGGUCUAAUACUGGAUAUGACUCCAUGACGCAUGUUGUGGGGUGGAAAGCCUUGUGCGGCUGAGGAUGGGCCCGCGGCCUAUCAGCUUGUUGGUGGGGUGAUGGCCUACCAAGGCGACGACGGGUAGCCGGCCUGAGAGGGCGACCGGCCACACUGGGACUGAGACACGGCCCAGACUCCUACGGGAGGCAGCAGUGGGGAAUCUUGCGCAAUGGGCGAAAGCCUGACGCAGCGACGCCGCGUGAGGGAUGACGGCCUCGGUGUAAC